UGCCCAGCAACUCCUAUCCCUACCUCCUCGUGGUACUGGCCGGGGUACGAUUAACCUUGGAAGAUCGGGUAACCAAUCCCGGUGGGAAAUCUGGUCGUAUGCUGACAGGGAAGG
Non-coding RNA from Aedes aegypti (yellow fever mosquito), 114 nucleotides. NCBI's taxonomy places the organism in Eukaryota, Metazoa, Arthropoda, Insecta, Diptera, Culicidae. The record is from Rfam.